RNAcentral lists this transfer RNA (86 nucleotides) under Candidatus Woesebacteria bacterium. RNAcentral's name for it is "tRNA-Val". It matches the Rfam family "tRNA". From Rfam's summary of the family: Transfer RNA (tRNA) molecules are approximately 80 nucleotides in length. Their secondary structure includes four short double-helical elements and three loops (D, anti-codon, and T loops). Lineage: Bacteria; Candidatus Woeseibacteriota. The record is from RNAcentral.
GGUGGGGUGGCUCAAUGGCAGAGCGCCGAGGUUACAAACAAAGUUGAGAGAUUCGGAGGUUGGAGGUUCAAGUCCUCUCCCCACCA